RNAcentral lists this long non-coding RNA (452 nucleotides) under Capsicum annuum. RNAcentral's name for it is "long non-coding RNA (CANN_LNC016853)". The record is from RNAcentral. Lineage: Eukaryota; Viridiplantae; Streptophyta; Magnoliopsida; Solanales; Solanaceae.
CGUAAUUUUUUUAUUAAACUAAAACAAAUAAAAAUACAUAUACAGACUUAGAAAGAAAGAAGAAACAAAAUAAUCUAAUUAUUAUUAAUAGAUGCAACAUCCUUACUCUGACAGCGGCCAACUCUCACUGUAUAUCAUGUACCUGCCUCUGCAGUUCCCGUACGUCAUCUCAUAAAAUAUCGACAUCCCACACUGGAUCGCCCAUAUCUAGAAUACAUAUAAAUUGACCAAAAAACAUGAAAAUAAAAGUAAAGAAAAGAAUCCGAAAGUAAUACAACGUAUAUUAACAUAAAAAUCAAGAAAAAAACUUACCAUAGAUAGGGAAAAGCAAUCAAGUUCUUGAAGAGAAAGUUGUUGAAGGUGUAAUAUAAAAGACAAGAGCAAGAAAUAAAUAGAUAUGUGUAGUAGAAUGAACGAGUAAGGAGGGACCUAUUUAUAGAGGAUUGAAUUUG